GACGAACGCUGGCGGCGUGCUUAACACAUGCAAGUCGAACGGAAAGGCCCUGCUUUUGUGGGGUGCUCGAGUGGCGAACGGGUGAGUAACACGUGAGUAACCUGCCCUUGACUUUGGGAUAACUUCAGGAAACUGGGGCUAAUACCGGAUAGGAGCUCCUGCUGCAUGGUGGGGGUUGGAAAGUUUCGGCGGUUGGGGAUGGACUCGCGGCUUAUCAGCUUGUUGGUGGAGUAGUGGCUUACCAAGGCUUUGACGGGUAGCCGGCCUGAGAGGGUGACCGGCCACAUUGGGACUGAGAUACGGCCCAGACUCCUACGGGAGGCAGCAGUGGGGAAUAUGGCACAAGGGGCGGAAGCCGGAUGCAGCAACGCCGCGUGCGGGAGGACGGCCUUCGGGUUGGAAACCGCUUUCGCCUGUGACGAAGCGUGAGUGACGGUAAUGGGUAAAGAAGCACCGGCUAACUACGU
RNAcentral lists this ribosomal RNA (467 nucleotides) under uncultured bacterium. Its description in RNAcentral is "partial 16S ribosomal RNA". It matches the Rfam family "Bacterial small subunit ribosomal RNA", at positions 28 to 506 of the family's 1533-position model. The record is from RNAcentral.